AUAGCUCAUUUGGUUAGAGCGUGGUGCUGAUAACACCAAGGUCGUGGGUUUGAUCCCCGUU
This is a transfer RNA of Apaloderma vittatum (bar-tailed trogon), 61 nucleotides long. It matches the Rfam family "tRNA", at positions 7 to 64 of the family's 71-position model. Rfam says of the family: Transfer RNA (tRNA) molecules are approximately 80 nucleotides in length. Their secondary structure includes four short double-helical elements and three loops (D, anti-codon, and T loops). Further hydrogen bonds mediate the characteristic L-shaped molecular structure. tRNAs have two regions of fundamental functional importance: the anti-codon, which is responsible for specific mRNA codon recognition, and the 3' end, to which the tRNAs corresponding amino acid is attached (by aminoacyl-tRNA synthetases). tRNAs cope with the degeneracy of the genetic code in two manners: having more than one tRNA (with a specific anti-codon) for a particular amino acid; and 'wobble' base-pairing, i.e. permitting non-standard base-pairing at the 3rd anti-codon position. The record is from Rfam. Lineage: Eukaryota; Metazoa; Chordata; Aves; Trogoniformes; Trogonidae.